This 294-nucleotide long non-coding RNA is filed under the name Bos taurus (domestic cattle). RNAcentral describes it as "long non-coding RNA NONBTAT001380". Lineage: Eukaryota; Metazoa; Chordata; Mammalia; Artiodactyla; Bovidae. The record is from RNAcentral.
GAGUUGGAAAAAAGCAGAAUUAUGGAAAUAGCUUUCUUUAUUAACAAUCUAUUUCUUUACUGUGUUGCUAUAUCUACAUUAACUAUUAAGGUGGAAAUAGAAAGUAAAAGUGCCUUUCAAGUAAAAUCACAAAUACUUUAAAAUGGUAAUUUUUUUAAAAGAAUCUAAGAAAAGACCUAAUUGAGAAACUUCUGGACUAGCUAGUUUAAGAAGUCUUAUUUAAAAGCUAUAGCUUUUAAUAAUGACUCAUUAUAGCAUGUAGAAAACAGGAAACAAAUUUCAUAAUCAAGAUAG